Long non-coding RNA from Erinaceus europaeus (western European hedgehog), 469 nucleotides. RefSeq lists it as uncharacterized. The transcript has 3 exons. The record is from RefSeq and is a predicted model, not a curated record. Lineage: Eukaryota; Metazoa; Chordata; Mammalia; Eulipotyphla; Erinaceidae.
CAGAGGCCAGCGGGGAGGGAGGCUUCCCCAGAAAACAGACGCAAGCACAGCUCUGGGCACACACACUGGCUGUUUACCUGGGAGCUCCACGCGGGUGUCGCAAGAGUUCCUUCACGGACAGAUUGUGGCCUGCAGAUUACUCAGCAGCAGUGAGGGCCUCCUCUCCUGAGGACCCAGGCUGAGCCAGUAAAGACAAGAACGCUGGUUAUUUGCAGAGUGAACUCUCCUGUCACUCACCUCCAUGAACUCUUGCACUAGUUGGAUGUCACUAAAUGGACAGCAACCACACUGCCCGUGCUUAUUCGCCGCAGACUUGCCCCAGAGCUGACAGGUAGCGCCCAGAAGCAAGUGCAAAGAAGGGCCUGCCAUGUCUAUUUUUUGCUGUGCACUGUUGGCUUUUUCCUCAAUUGGGCUGUAGAGGGCUGUGUGAACAUGACCUCAUGGUCCACUCAAAAGCUGCCUACAGAGA